This 341-nucleotide long non-coding RNA is filed under the name Linum usitatissimum (flax). RNAcentral's name for it is "long non-coding RNA (LUSI_LNC001400)". The record is from RNAcentral. Lineage: Eukaryota; Viridiplantae; Streptophyta; Magnoliopsida; Malpighiales; Linaceae.
CCCAUCACCUAUACAGACACACCGGUAAGACAACGUGCAUGGAUCGGCAGAGUGUUUCUAAUCUAUUUGGUGAUAAAGGCAAAGACUCGCCUUGAUCUUGUCUUGUAAGUAAGUCCUUCCUCUGACCAGGAAACCCAUUUUACUAGGAGACUCCCAGCAACCUUUAUCGUUUCCUUGGCGCAUAGUACCAUAAAACUGGCUUGGAUCAAUGCACACUGGGGGUAAGCUAUGAUCCAAUUCCCUGUUUUUUAUUGAACCUGCACUUACAAUGAACUCGAACAUCAAUUACCAUUCCUACAACUGAAGGACAUUUCAAAAGGUUUACAAGCUCGCUACUGACU